Molecule: ribosomal RNA, 572 nt
Filed under: Geomyces sp. 21IN08
Lineage: Eukaryota; Fungi; Ascomycota; Leotiomycetes; Thelebolales; Pseudeurotiaceae
Description: eukaryotic LSU rRNA
Rfam family: 5.8S ribosomal RNA (bases 227-380)
Source: RNAcentral
GAAGUAAAAGUCGUAACAAGGUUUCCGUAGGUGAACCUGCGGAAGGAUCAUUACAGUAGUCAUCCGGGUUGCCGCAAGGCCUCCCGGGUAACCUACCACCCUUUGUUUAUUACACUUUGUUGCUUUGGCAGGCCUGCCCUCGGGCUGCUGGCCCCGGCCGGCGAGCGUCUGCCAGAGGACCUAAACUCUGUUUGUCUAUAAUGUCUGAGUACUAUAUAAUAGUUAAAACUUUCAACAACGGAUCUCUUGGUUCUGGCAUCGAUGAAGAACGCAGCGAAAUGCGAUAAGUAAUGUGAAUUGCAGAAUUCAGUGAAUCAUCGAAUCUUUGAACGCACAUUGCGCCCCCUGGUAUUCCGGGGGGCAUGCCUGUCCGAGCGUCAUUACAACCCUCAAGCUCAGCUUGGUGUUGGGCCCCGCCGCCCCGGCGGGCCCUAAAGUCAGUGGCGGUGCCGUCCGGCUCCGAGCGUAGUAAUUCUUCUCGCUCUGGAGGUCCGGUCGUGUGCUUGCCAGCAACCCCCAAUUUUUUUCAGGUUGACCUCGGAUCAGGUAGGGAUACCCGCUGAACUUAAGCA